GCAAAGCAGGGCAGUAUUAAGAUCAGAAUUGGGUUUUGGCAUUCUGGUAUACCAUAUUAUUAAAUACUAAGUGUUAGUGUUUACACUGACUUAAAGCAGUUCUUUUGUUUCUACAGAACUCUGUAAACGUGAAAACUGAAAAUCAGAGUAAUAAGCUAUAUUAAAAUUCCAAAACAGAAGAGCACGUUUGUAAAAUGUCUCACUUUAUCGACAUUACUCUCAAAAGGAAAAAAGACUUGUCAGCACCUAACUUCUACGGUGAGAACAAUUCUUGUCUGAGUUCAAAGAUGUUCUGAUCAACAGAAAUACAAACGGAACAGAACUGAAAUCAACUUGGCAGACACUGUUAUUAAUGAUGAAACUGCAGUAGACAGUCCAGAAAUACUUUCUUAUGUAGAAAUUAGUGUGCUCUCAAUAGACUGUAAAAGAACAAUAAAAGCAAAGCAAAGCAAAAAAAAAAGUAUUGUUCAAAAAGUCCUCCCUGAAGUUAAAUGAAAUCAUUUGAUGAAAUGUUUGCAGGAAAAUACGUGGAUUUAGCAUUCAAGCAACUCCUACCAUUCUUCAGACCACGUGGAAUCAGAAA
This 583-nucleotide long non-coding RNA is filed under the name Bos taurus (domestic cattle). Its description in RNAcentral is "long non-coding RNA NONBTAT008947". Lineage: Eukaryota; Metazoa; Chordata; Mammalia; Artiodactyla; Bovidae. The record is from RNAcentral.